RNAcentral lists this ribosomal RNA (1112 nucleotides) under Anoxybacillus kestanbolensis. RNAcentral's name for it is "bacterial SSU rRNA". The stretch from base 1 to 815 matches the Rfam family "Bacterial small subunit ribosomal RNA". The record is from RNAcentral. Lineage: Bacteria; Bacillati; Bacillota; Bacilli; Caryophanales; Anoxybacillaceae.
GAUGAACGCUAGCUACAGGCUUAACACAUGCAAGUCGAGGGGAAACGGCAUUGAGUGCUUGCACUCUUUGGACGUCGACCGGCGCACGGGUGAGUAACGCGUAUCCAACCUUCCCAUUACUGUGGGAUAACCUGCCGAAAGGCAGACUAAUACCGCAUAGUCUUCGAUGACGGCAUCAGAUUUGAAGUAAAGAUUUAUCGGUAAUGGAUGGGGAUGCGUCUGAUUAGCUUGUUGGCGGGGUAACGGCCCACCAAGGCGACGAUCAGUAGGGGUUCUGAGAGGAAGGUCCCCCACAUUGGAACUGAGACACGGUCCAAACUCCUACGGGAGGCAGCAGUGAGGAAUAUUGGUCAAUGGGCGCGAGCCUGAACCAGCCAAGUAGCGUGCAGGAUGACGGCCCUAUGGGUUGUAAACUGCUUUUGUAUGGGGAUAAAGUCAAUCACGUGUGAUUGUUUGCAGGUACCAUACGAAUAAGGACCGGCUAAUUCCGUGCCAGCAGCCGCGGUAAUACGGAAGGUCCGGGCGUUAUCCGGAUUUAUUGGGUUUAAAGGGAGCGUAGGCCGGAGAUUAGGUGUGUUGUGAAAUGUAGACGCUCAACGUCUGACUUGCAGCGCAUACUGGUUUCCUUGAGUACCACAACGUUGGCGUAAUUCGUCGUGUAGCGGUGAAAUGCUUAGAUAUGACGAAAAACUCCGAUGGCGAUGGCGGCUGACUGGAGCGCAACUGACGCUUAAGCUCUGAAGGUGCGGGGGAUCGAAAAGUGAUUAUAUACCCUGGUAGUCCAAGGGCGAAUUCCUCAGUGGAUUUUUGCUUAUCAUUCCCGUCUGCGUCGAGAGGAAGCACGGGACCAAUGUUUGUUCCUUUUGUGUGGGUAAAUAUUGGGUUGUUGACCUAUGGUUUGUGCUGGUGUUGUGAUGUGGUUGUUCUCGGGUGUUUGGGGUGGUGUUGAUCAAGUGAAUGCGAGAGUGUGAUGUGUGGUUUUUGGGGUUGUGUGUAUUUGCUAGUUGUGUGGGUGGUUGCUGGAUGUGGUGAUGUGUGUGUAUUGUUGUUGAUGACUGUGUUGCUGUGAAUGUGUGUGUGUGGGAUGUGGUGCGUGUGUGAGUUGUGUGUGA